This 484-nucleotide ribosomal RNA is filed under the name uncultured bacterium. Its description in RNAcentral is "partial 16S ribosomal RNA". It matches the Rfam family "Bacterial small subunit ribosomal RNA", at positions 30 to 507 of the family's 1533-position model. The record is from RNAcentral.
AUUGAACGCUGGCGGCAGGCCUAACACAUGCAAGUCGAGCGGAUGAAGGGAGCUUGCUCCUGGAUUCAGCGGCGGACGGGUGAGUAAUGCCUAGGAAUCUGCCUGGUAGUGGGGGAUAACGUCCGGAAACGGGCGCUAAUACCGCAUACGUCCUGAGGGAGAAAGUGGGGGAUCUUCGGACCUCACGCUAUCAGAUGAGCCUAGGUCGGAUUAGCUAGUUGGUGGGGUAAAGGCCUACCAAGGCGACGAUCCGUAACUGGUCUGAGAGGAUGAUCAGUCACACUGGAACUGAGACACGGUCCAGACUCCUACGGGAGGCAGCAGUGGGGAAUAUUGGACAAUGGGCGAAAGCCUGAUCCAGCCAUGCCGCGUGUGUGAUGAAGGUCUUCGGAUUGUAAAGCACUUUAAGUUGGGAGGAAGGACAGUAAGUUAAUACCUUGCUAUUUUGACGUUACCAACAGAAUAAGCACCGGCUAACUUCGUG